GAAAUGCGAUACGCAAUGCGAAUUGCAGAAUUCCGCGAGUCAUCAGAUCUUUGAACGCAGCCCGCGCCGAAGGGAUAUCCUUUCGGCAUGUUUGUUUCAGUGUGUUUGGUUGACAUCAUACAACCAAAUGCGAUUGAAUUUUUACUUCAUUGAAAAAAUUCUCUCGUGAAAAAUGAAUACGUGGAGGCUAUAUCCUUCCGACGGAGUGGUCACUGUUCACUCAGUGAUUUCGUUGGGCACAAAGUGGUGUAUAGCCAAAUUAAUAAAUAAUAAACAUGUAUUUUAAUUUAAAAAUUCUUCACAAUCGGCACCUGAAAUCAAGCAAGAUUACCCGCUGAACUUAA
This 344-nucleotide unclassified non-coding RNA is filed under the name uncultured fungus. Its description in RNAcentral is "sequence contains ITS1". The stretch from base 1 to 105 matches the Rfam family "5.8S ribosomal RNA", at positions 50 to 154 of the family's 154-position model. The record is from RNAcentral. Lineage: Eukaryota; Fungi.